AUAUCAAUAAGCGGAGGAAAAGAAACCAACAGGGAUUGCCCUAGUAACGGCGAGUGAAGCGGCAACAGCUCAAAUUUGAAAUCUGGCUUCGGCCCGAGUUGUAAUUUGUAGAGGAUGCUUUGGGCGCGGCUCUAACUGAGUUCCCUGGAACGGGACGCCACAGAGGGUGAGAGCCCCGUAUAGUUAGAUGCCUAGCCUAUGUAAAGCUCCUUCGACGAGUCGAGUAGUUUGGGAAUGCUGCUCUAAAUGGGAGGUAAAUUUCUUCUAAAGCUAAAUAUUGGCCAGAGACCGAUAGCGCACAAGUAGAGUGAUCGAAAGAUGAAAAGCACUUUGAAAAGAGGGUUAAAUAGCACGUGAAAUUGUUGAAAGGGAAGCGCUUGUGACCAGACUUGCGCCGGGCAGAUCAUCCGGUGUUCUCACCGGUGCACUCUGCCCGGCUCAGGCCAGCAUCGGUUCUCGUGGGGGGAUAAAGGUCCCGGGAACGUAGCUCCUCCGGGAGUGUUAUAGCCCGGGGCGUAAUGCCCUCGUGGGGACCGAGGUUCGCGCAUCUGCAAGGAUGCUGGCGUAAUGGUCAUCAGCGACCCGUCUUGAAACACGGACCAAGGAGUCAAGGUUUUGCGCGAGUGUUUGGGUGUAAAACCCGCACGCGUAAUGAAAGUGAACGUAGGUGAGAGCUUCGGCGCAUCAUCGACCGAUCCUGAUGUAUUCGGAUGGAUUUGAGUAAGAGCGUUAAGCCUUGGACCCGAAAGAUGGUGAACUAUGCUUGGAUAGGGUGAAGCCAGAGGAAACUCUGGUGGAGGCUCGCAGCGGUUCUGACGUGCAAAUCGAUCGUCA
This 834-nucleotide ribosomal RNA is filed under the name Trichocladium asperum. Its description in RNAcentral is "eukaryotic LSU rRNA". It matches the Rfam family "Eukaryotic large subunit ribosomal RNA", at positions 40 to 907 of the family's 3401-position model. Lineage: Eukaryota; Fungi; Ascomycota; Sordariomycetes; Sordariales; Chaetomiaceae. The record is from RNAcentral.